Molecule: ribosomal RNA, 253 nt
Filed under: uncultured prokaryote
Description: partial 16S ribosomal RNA
Rfam family: Bacterial small subunit ribosomal RNA
Source: RNAcentral
UACAGAGGUCUCGAGCGUUAGGCGGAAUCACUGGGCUUAAAGCGUGUGUAGGUGGAUCGUUAAGUACCUUGUGAAAUCCCACGGCUCAACCGUGGAACUGCCUUAGAUACUGACGGCCUCGAGGAAGGUAGGGGCAUGCGGAACUGUAGGUGGAGCGGUGAAAUGCGUAGAUAUCGUAAGGAAGACCAGUGGCGAAGGCGGGUCUCUGGACAGUUCCUGACGCUGAGGCACGAAGGCCAGGGGAGCAAACGGG